AUUGAACGCUGGCGGCAUGCUUUACACAUGCAAGUCGAACGGUAACAGGCCUUCGGGUGCUGACGAGUGGCGCACGGGUGAGUAAUGCAUCGGAACGUACCCAGAGGUGGGGGAUAACGCAGCGAAAGCUGUGCUAAUACCGCAUGUGAUCUGAGGAUGAAAGCGGGGGACCGAGCAGCAAUGUUUGGCCUCGCGCCUUUGGAGCGGCCGAUGUCGGAUUAGCUAGUUGGUGGGGUAAAGGCCUACCAAGGCGACGAUCCGUAGCUGGUCUGAGAGGACGACAGGCGGCACGGGGGCUGAGACAGGCCCAAGGCGCCUACGGGAGGCAGCAGUGGGGAAUUUUGGACAGUGGGCGCAAGCCUGAUCCAGCAAGGCCGCGUGCGGGAAGAAGGCCUCCGGGUCGUAAACCGCUUUUGGCAGGAACGAAACGGUGUCCGCUAAUACCGGGCGCUAAUGACGGUACCUGCAGAAUAAGCACCGGCUAACUACGUG
This 492-nucleotide ribosomal RNA is filed under the name uncultured bacterium. Its description in RNAcentral is "partial 16S ribosomal RNA". It matches the Rfam family "Bacterial small subunit ribosomal RNA", at positions 29 to 507 of the family's 1533-position model. The record is from RNAcentral.